UUAUGGUCGCGGCGGGUAAGGAGGUAUGCGAGAAUGUCCCGUUCAAAUGUUUCUGGCGGCAGCAUGUAAUCGUAAAAAUUGAUCCGUUCGGCGGAAGUAUCGAGAAAAAGAGCAGUGCGUUUUGAACAUGAUUGAACAACGCAAAUAGAACGCGAAUAGUCCGCUUGAAGAAUGUUUCUCGUCGUUGCGAACAACGAUAUGGAUUGCGAACAGUUUUUGAUAUUAUGGACAAUGCCAUUAUGAAGCGGCUUCCUAGGAGGACGACGUGCUGUUUUCAUCAUCGG
Harpegnathos saltator (Jerdon's jumping ant) is the source of this 284-nucleotide long non-coding RNA. RefSeq lists it as uncharacterized. Lineage: Eukaryota; Metazoa; Arthropoda; Insecta; Hymenoptera; Formicidae. The transcript is spliced from 3 exons. The record is from RefSeq and is a predicted model, not a curated record.